Molecule: long non-coding RNA, 431 nt
Organism: Gossypium arboreum
Lineage: Eukaryota; Viridiplantae; Streptophyta; Magnoliopsida; Malvales; Malvaceae
Exons: 2
Source: RefSeq, a predicted model, not a curated record
GAACACCCCUUUUUGAAAACUAAAAAAGAUAAUAAAAAAAAUUACCCAUCACCUCUCUUAUUUUCCUUAAAGAAAAACAGAAAGAAAGCUCCCAAAUUUUCUCUUAGGCCUACGCCACCCUCAUCGGAGAUCGGCGAGCCGAGGUCGCUAGUUCGUCGGUGUGUCAGGUGUGGGUGGUGCACGUGAUGGCCAAGGGCAGAGGUAGCAUGGGGCGACUGAAUCUUGGGGACAGAGGGAGGAGCUGCUAGUUUUUUUCUUUUUUUGUUUGCUGAAAAUUAGUUAAGGUUGUGGGCUGAUUGGGCUUUUAGGGUUUUAAUUUUUUGGGGGGCUGUAAUUGGGUUGGAUAGGUUUGGAUUUUGGGUCAUGGACUAUUAAUUAUUUUUAUCUUGGUUAAUGGUUUAUGGGCCCCGGGCAAAAUUUGGGUUCUACAA